This is a long non-coding RNA of Pipistrellus kuhlii (Kuhl's pipistrelle), 163 nucleotides long. RefSeq lists it as uncharacterized. The transcript has 3 exons. NCBI's taxonomy places the organism in Eukaryota, Metazoa, Chordata, Mammalia, Chiroptera, Vespertilionidae. The record is from RefSeq and is a predicted model, not a curated record.
CUCACACAGGCACUUACCCGAGUAGGCCCAGUAGGGGUCCCCGGAGGCCUUGCGCCUGCGGAUCUGCGAGGAGCUGCUGUGUCUGCUGUCCUGAAGGGAGCCCACGUAGCCUUCGGUCAAGGCCGGAAAGCACACGCAGGGUAGGAUCCUAAUGGGCAAAGAA